GAUGAACGCUGGCGGCGUGCCUAAUACAUGCAAGUCGAGCGAACAGAUGAGGAGCUUGCUCCUCUGACGUUAGCGGCGGACGGGUGAGUAACACGUGGAUAACCUACCUAUAAGACUGGGAUAACUUCGGGAAACCGGAGCUAAUACCGGAUAAUAUAUUGAACCGCUUGGUUCAAUAGUGAAAGACGGUUUUGCUGUCACUUAUAGAUGGAUCCGCGCCGCAUUAGCUAGUUGGUAAGUUAACGGCUUACCAAGGCAACGAUGCGUAGCCGACCUGAGAGGGUGAUCGGCCACACUGGAACUGAGACACGGUCCAGACUCCUACGGGAGGCAGCAGUAGGGAAUCUUCCGCAAUGGGCGAAAGCCUGACGGAGCAACGCCGCGUGAGUGAUGAAGGUCUUCGGAUCGUAAAACUCUGUUAUUAGGGAAGAACAAAUGUGUAAGUAACUAUGCACGUCUUGACGGUACCUAAUCAGAAAGCCACGGCUAACUACGUG
Molecule: ribosomal RNA, 497 nt
Filed under: uncultured bacterium
Lineage: Bacteria
Description: partial 16S ribosomal RNA
Rfam family: Bacterial small subunit ribosomal RNA
Source: RNAcentral